GCCGGGGUACCCAAGCUAGGUAAGGGGUCAGCCUCGAGAUCUAAUAAUGAGGAAAAUUAAGGAUAGAUAGCUGAUGUCCUUCCGGACUCGUGGGUUCGAGUCCCACCUCCGGCG
Molecule: transfer RNA, 114 nt
Filed under: Candidatus Nitrosocosmicus agrestis
Lineage: Archaea; Thermoproteati; Nitrososphaerota; Nitrososphaeria; Nitrososphaerales; Nitrososphaeraceae
Description: Candidatus Nitrosocosmicus sp. SS tRNA-Ser
Rfam family: tRNA
About the family: Transfer RNA (tRNA) molecules are approximately 80 nucleotides in length. Their secondary structure includes four short double-helical elements and three loops (D, anti-codon, and T loops).
Source: RNAcentral